This 253-nucleotide ribosomal RNA is filed under the name uncultured bacterium. RNAcentral describes it as "partial 16S ribosomal RNA". It matches the Rfam family "Bacterial small subunit ribosomal RNA", at positions 524 to 776 of the family's 1533-position model. The record is from RNAcentral.
UACGUAGGGUGCGAGCGUUGUCCGGAAUUACUGGGCGUAAAGAGCUCGUAGGUGGUUUGUCGCGUUGGUCGUGAAAUCUCACGGCUUAACUGUGAGCGUGCGGGCGAUACGGGCAGACUAGAGUACUGCAGGGGAGACUGGAAUUCCUGGUGUAGCGGUGGAAUGCGCAGAUAUCAGGAAGAACACCCGUGGCGAAGGCGGCUCUCUGGGACGGUACUGACGCUGAGACGCGAAAGCGUGGGGAGCGAACAGG